AUGAUGAUGAUGAGAAUUAAAAUGAUGAUGAUGAUGACUGACUGACUGACUGAU
RNAcentral lists this small nucleolar RNA (54 nucleotides) under Tetranychus urticae (two-spotted spider mite). RNAcentral's name for it is "snoRNA tetur23g02446". Lineage: Eukaryota; Metazoa; Arthropoda; Arachnida; Trombidiformes; Tetranychidae. The record is from RNAcentral.